Molecule: non-coding RNA, 121 nt
Organism: Pelobates cultripes (western spadefoot toad)
Lineage: Eukaryota; Metazoa; Chordata; Amphibia; Anura; Pelobatidae
Source: the annotation of a GenBank genome assembly
UGCGUUGAAAAGAGCACACCCUGAACACGCCCGAUCUCGUCUGAUCUCGGAAGCUUAGCAGGGUCGGGCCUGGUUAGUACUUGGAUGGGAGACCGCCUGGGAAUACCAGGUGUAAGCCCAU